RNAcentral lists this long non-coding RNA (4669 nucleotides) under Canis lupus familiaris (dog). RNAcentral describes it as "lncRNA (ENSCAFG00000056832.1)". The record is from RNAcentral. Lineage: Eukaryota; Metazoa; Chordata; Mammalia; Carnivora; Canidae.
ACUGUAACGGAGGACUGCUCCUACGGUCCUGGCUCCAGUCAUGCCAACCACCAUGGAACAGCUAGUGUUCGCGCAGUCCUGCCAGAAACUGCCCUGCUUCAGGCAUGAUCCUGGGCCCAGGAGCAGGGGGAGGACAGCAUCCAGGUCCCAAGCCUACCAGCUCUGGCCGCGGACUCCCUCUCUGUGAACGUUCCCCUUGCUCAUGGAGAGCAGAUUAUAGGGCGCGCUCUGUCUACGGGGCCUCAGGAACCGGACUUAAGCCCGAUGGGCAGAAGCUAGUGGAUGAAACUUGUGCACCAGUGAAGGACAGCCUGACCUAUAAGGGAGUGAAUUCCCUGUCACUGGAGGUAUGCAAGCAAAGGAAGGAUGCUGAUUGGAGUAUCCUAGAAAGAAUGACAACUUUAUUUUUUUUAAAGAUGUAUUUAUUUAUUCAUGAGAGACACAGAGAGAAAGGCAGAGAGAAGGCAGAGGGAGAAGCGGGCUCCCCAGGGGGAGCCGAUGUGGGAUUUGAUCCUAGGACCCCGGGAUCAUGACCUGAGCCAAAGGUAGAUGCUCAACCGCUAAGCCACCCAGGUGCCCCAAGAAUGAAAAUUUUAAAAGAGGAGCUUUUACUAGCUGAAACUUAAGGCCUGUCUUAAUAUGUUAUCCUGUUAUAAAGGCGUUUUGCUUAUAGAUGGAAGAAGCUCUCCCCUCCUGUCUUGUCAGUUCUCCCCAAGAGAGGGAGACACUCAUUUUAGUUGAAUCUGCUUUCAGGACCUCACUGGGUGACAGAGCAGCUGGCAGAGUCAUAGGCUGCUCCUCUCUGGCACCUUGGUCCCCCGGGCUAGAGAAAGGGCCAUGGGACGGAGCCCAGCUUGGCUUGUCCUCUGUUCUCUCUCUUCCAUUUUAUUUGUCUAGCAGAGUCUCACCCAAUACUUGCUGUGUACAAGGCACCAUUCUAAGUGUUCUUCCCAAGCAGUAACUCAGGUAACCCCCAGAAAAACUAGUUGGUAGGUACUGACCAUUCCAUCUCUCUCUCUCUCUUUUUUAAAAGAUUUAUUUAGGGCAGCCUGGGUGGCUCAGCGGUUUAGUACCGCCUUCAGCCCAGGGUGUGAUCCCACAUCGAGUCCCAUGUCGGGCUCCCUGCAUGGAGCCUGCUUCUCCCUCUGCCUGUGUCUCUGCCUCUCUCUCUCUCUCUCUUUCUCUCAUGAAUAAAUAAAAAUCUUUUUAAAAAAACUUAUUUAUUUAUUAGAGAGAGAGCAUGAGCAGGAGGGGCAGAGGGAGAGGGAGAGAGAAUCUUGGGUCGACUCCGUGCUGAGCCAGAGCCCGAUGUGGGGCUCGAUUUCACAACCCUGAGAUCAUGACCUGAGCUGAAACCAAGAGUCAGAUGCUUAACCGACUGCACCACUCAGGCAUCCCUAUCAUUUCCAUCUUACAGAUGAGGAAACCGAGGACAGAGAGGUUGAGGAGCUUGUCCAGGGUCACACAGAAAAGAUCAGGAUUUGAACCCAGGCAGUGUGGUUCUAGACCAUGUUCUCAACCACAACAUCCAGGCCAUCUUCUCUUUUUUCCUUGAAGGCUCCAGUUUUUGAUGGUCAACUUUGGUUUCAUUAGAGAAUAAUGUCUCCCCCCUGGAAAUGCCUCCACUUAUGGCUUAUUUUGCAGCCUUUGCCAUCAGGCCUGCAGGGGCCAUGUCUCUGGGCCAUGCUCUCUCACCUGGCAGCAGCAACGGCAGAGACCUGAUCUGAGUCACAGGAGGUGAGUGAGGUGGCUGUGAGUAACCCUAUGCACCAGACCUUCCUUCUCUUAUAGAGUUAAUCUUCCCAAUCCCCAGGUAGGAGAGAACUAGAUAUUGGUGAACACUAGUGAUGUCUUCCACACUAGACCAGGUUUCCUUCUUACUGUUCUCAGGUUCCCAUGAACCUUUCUUUUAUGUGUCAUUUCAUAAUAACUUAUCGGUGAGCUUAUAUGAUGGCCAUCCAUCCUUCCCCCAAUCUCCAUUAGAGUGUAACUUCCAUGAGGAAAGAAACAUGUCUACGUUUGAUUAUUGUGAAUGAGUAGACAGAUCAAUGGAUGGAUGGAUGAAUGGAAGGAUGAAUGGAAGGAUGGAUAGAUGACUGGAUGCAUGGAUGAAUGACUGGUUGGAUGAAUAAAGGAGUUGUGAGCCCUUUCUUAGUAUAAAAGAUGAUACAUUAACAAUCUAGCAUUACUUGGAUGUGUGUGUUAUUUCCUCCCAAGAUUCAGAACUAAUUCUAAUAAGGGUUAAUUAAGAUUUCCUAGGGGGAUUAACAUCUGAGACCUUCUGGAGGAUUAAUUAUCAUUUGGCGUUAAAGAUGCAAACAAAAUCCCCAGGAGAAGUUGUAAUCUCUGAACUCAGGCACUGCUGUUUGCCUCAGUCCCAGCUUUGCUGACCCCUUGGUCCUCUCAUGGCUGUGAAGGGCCAUGGGAGUGCCUGAAGCCACCCUGGGAAACGCUCUUUGCCUCAGGUGUAUUAUGGCUGCAGCUUCUCCAGAUCAUGGUCUCUGAGUGUAGAUGGGAUCAGAGACGGGUGAUACAUUUAGGACAAUAGCAGAAUAUGUGUUCUCUACUCCAAACCUGAACAUGCCAUUCAAUGUGUCUGAUUUUCAGGUGACCAAGGAGGAGUCAGGGGUCCCUUCCAGGGCAGAGAUGGCUUAGAAGUAUAUUGAAGGCGGCCCUGCAGAAGGAGGGAGGAGAUGCUAAGCCUUCACCAUCCUUUUUCCUCCCCAGACCUCAGACUUCCCUUCAGUGUUGUUGAAGCUUCAUUGUCCCUGUAGCUUUGACACUUUGUGAGAAGUCUGGGUGUGGGCCCUCCAGGGGUUUUAAGAGAAGGGUUUGUUUGAAGUAAGUCACGGUACUAGUCUGAGGUCUUGUCAGUUGGUUGUACUGCUGGGGAGCUGAGUUUCAUCAGAGGCCACAUCAUGCUAUCUCUCUUUCUCCAUCGUCAACUGUGAUUUUAUGAUAAAUGGGGCUGUCACGUGUGGUUGUCAUUAGCAAUGUCCCUAUCGUAGUCAAGUUCUCCUACAUCGGGGCACAUAGUAGAACUAUAUUUUCUCACCUCCUACUAAUGUAGCCAUUGAUUUGCCUUGUCCAAUGGGAUCUGAGCAGAAGUGAUGUGUCACGUGUCAUAACAUGUAUAUGUGACAUUCUGCGCAGAAAUUCUGAGUCAGUGUGUAAUUCACCGAUUUACCUUUUGCCCUCUCCUCCCACCCCAGUAACUGGUAACCCUCCAGACGGAGGAGGCCUCAACAGCCCGAAUCUACGAAUGAGUUUGAUGGACAUAACCUCUGCGUUGACCUCCAAUGGAUAUGCUGUGUGAACAAAAUACUAUGCUUCUGUUGCGUUAAGGCACGUUUGAAGUAAUUAUUUCUUGUCCAGAGUAAAUAAAUAUCUGUCAGGCUUCAGAAUAAUUUCACGUACUGCUCAGGCAAAAAAGAGGCUUUUGGGUACAGAUUUUUAGUUGUUUGUUACUGUGGCAUAACCUAGAUUAUCCUGCCUAGCAUAUGUGGUUAUUCUAGAACACAGGCUCAUAUUCAUUAGGAAUUUGAACAGAAGUGAGUCCCAGUGUGGACAACAGACACCUGGAGAAGGGGCUGUGGAGCAUGUGUGAAGAGCAGGUUCUCUGGAGUCAGGCAGUCCUGGAUUUGAAUCGCUGCUGUGCCACUUAGAAGCUGAGUCUUGAGACAAGUUACCCAAUGUCUCGGGGCCUCAUUUCUUUUCUGUGAAAAAUAACCCAUCUCGUAAGGUCCUUGUAAGGAGCCUGGGAGAAAAUAAAAGAGCCCAGUGAGGUUCUUCCCACUUAGUGAAACUCAAUAAAUGCUGAUGUAGCCAGAGUGAAAUCAAGUGUAACUUUCUUUGCUUUGCUAAAUAGUUCAAUCUCGAUUUCAAGCCAAAAGUUAGAAACCAGUCAGUUGAGCGUUGUCUAUUUUCCCUGGUGAUAAUGUCCUCGUCCCAGCAGGGCACAGGGUGAUGAGGGUGACUAUCUUCAACCUCCGUUGGCACCUACUGAGUCAUCUUUAAUGUCAUCUGGCUUCUGGUCAUAUGUCUACACUAUGGGCACUGCCUUCUUUCCUGAGAAGACACCCCACAUGCCCCUCACAUCUCUGGGCUUCGGGAAAACUCUCCGUGGAGGGACCCAUUGUCCUUGGCUCGCUGCAGGAGCCCCUGCGAGGCUGUGUGAUCCCUUUGGCUGGACGCACCUCUUUAUUCUGCUGUCCCACAGUGACGGAGUCUUGCUCUUGCUGCAGAAACAGGGACAUUUGUAUUUUCAGCUUUGGAAUUCCUUAAACAUACCUUGAGUGUGGGAUGGGGGUGGGGGUCAAGUUUUAAGGCCCUUCACCCAGAUCCUUCACCCUUCAUCAAGAUCCUCUUGAUUUCUUCAGAUGCUCCUCCACCCCCAGGGACGAUUGAUUAAUCUCAGAGAGGCAGUUUCGCUUUCUGAGCCGAUAUGAACAAAUACGGCUCUAGCUUGUUGAGUCUUCUUGAAGGAGAUUUGGGGCCCAGGCGACUGGCUCACAGGUACCUUUUCUCUGCUUUUGCUUUCACAUCUUUUCCUUGAGGCAAUGGAUGCCAUAUGGUGGAGCCACUGAAAAGGUAAGGAGGGGUCAGGGGGGAAACAGGAAAUACCAGAGAAAAACAAUAAUUGGUAUGUAUUUAAAAUUAUCACCCCACA